GCACGUGAAGGCGAUAUGGUUGUGAUAACUGUCACCCCAUUGAUUGCCAAGGUUGAUUCAGCUGAUCUGGCUGGCCAGGCAGGUGUCCCCUGCCUGUCUCCUCACUUCUUGCACACCCCUCAUACACCUGCAUACUUCGUCAAAGAGUAUGACCACCCUGACAGAGGAGGACCUUACAAAUAU
Molecule: small nuclear RNA, 183 nt
Filed under: Cavia porcellus (domestic guinea pig)
Lineage: Eukaryota; Metazoa; Chordata; Mammalia; Rodentia; Caviidae
Description: 7SK RNA
Rfam family: 7SK RNA
About the family: 7SK was discovered as an abundant small nuclear RNA in the mid-70s but a possible function has only recently been suggested. Two independent studies have found that 7SK RNA binds the CDK9/cyclin T complex (known as elongation factor P-TEFb).
Source: Rfam by way of RNAcentral